CUGACUGUCAGCUGGGACGGGCUGGCUUAACCCUUGCCGCGCCGCGCUCCCCGGGCGCGCGAGCCAGGCCCCGCGCAAAGUUUGGCGCAAGAAGGCCCGCAGGAGGAUCGAAGAGCUAGAACUAUUGUUGGACCCGGUUGGUUUGUGCCUCAACAGCGCCACCUUUCGGCAAAGGGCAGAGCUGACCAGCGUCCACUCCAUUUCACUAUGAAACCACCUGAAUUGAUCUGCGAAAGAGUUCUUUAGAGGAACUGAAUGAUGAGGCGCCCGCUGUUCUUAGGUCUCGUGUUAGAUAAAUCCUUUUAACAGUCUUCAGUUAGCAGGCAAUUCACAGUUGUAAGUUAAAGCCGCUCUCUCUUUGAAGACACAUCUUUUAUAAUUUUUAUUAGAGCGUUCUUCCCAGGCUGUGUCAUGAAAUGCGUGUUUGUUUUGCACACGAAGACGUGGAAGAUCCAGGUGUGUUCCCAAGCGAGGACUCCUGGGAAGGUGGACCAGAUGGGGGCCAGCUCGCUCCCCCUUCUUUAUCCCACAAAGGCCCCCACAGUGGCCUGGCAGAUGGGAGGUGCUUGGUGAAUGGCCUUGUGUAUGCUGUCCGCGAGAGUGUUAAAUGAAAGGACUUCUGGGUCCAGGCCGUACAAGGGAUGUAAAAUGAGGGGCCCGGGUCCCCACUCUUGCCACCCCGCAUCCACACAUUUCUGUGCUGUUUCUGUCUCCCUUUGCAGGGCAGGGCCGUCUCCCUGGGUUUUCCUUUUCCUUCGCUGAGGGGCUGUUGAUGACCACGAGUCCGUCAGCAUCCCUGUGGGCCCUCUUUGACAUUUACACUGGUGAGGGGGGUUUCUCUCCACAGCGUUUAUCCCUCCAACGAAUUCUACUGUGCCUACACCUGGGCCCUUGAACGUCUCCACAUAUGCCGUGAUGCCAAGCACUACUGCUUCCUGCUUGCUCACUCCCAGGUGCACGUACGUGAGUAACUGCAGCCCUCUGAGGGUUCAAGUCCCAUCCCAGCACUGACGCCAGGUGCCCAAGGGGAAGCCUCUCACCACAGAGUGAGCUCCACGCCCCAGCUCCUGAGCUGCGGUCGUCUGCCCCACACGCAGGCCAUGAUUUCAUGAGCAGACACGCAACAGCAGUGACUCAUGGUGCGUGCAUUUUGGACUCGCUCCCCUGGGCCCUUCUGUUUCCCCCUUCCUAGGUUUGUGUGCUUAUCUGAACCCAAGCGCAGACGUGUGUGCGUCUUACUCGAUUCAGUCUUAAUCUCUGUGCCGGGUGCAGAUGACAUUGAUGUGCUUUGGACCUGCAGCACCUGCAGACUGGGAUACUGCUGGGUCUCGGAAGUGCACCUGUGAAAUGUCCCUAAGGAGGCGGGGCCCCAGGGGAGCUCUGUGAACAGUGCUCGACUGCUUUUCUUACCAUGCCCAGGAUUGAUAAAGACUGGGAGGGACCAAGCCCUGUGGCAUCCCAGGGUAGACUGUUCCCCACAACCCUCAUGACCUCUGACUCCCUUAAGUCCCCUAAUAGACAUUUUAAACUGAGCUACCUGGUAAGCAGGGGUAAUUUUAAAUUAAAUCGCCCCCAUCUGGGUAUUCUACAUAGACGAGAACUUCAAAAAGUUUGCUGAAAAUGGAAUCAAAAGAUAAGCUUAUUUGGGUGCAGUGUUUUUAAAAAAUUUACCAUUUAAGAGGUCUUCAAAAAAGUUCAUGAAAAAAACAUGUAUUAUGCCAAUACUAUGCAUGGGUUUCAAAUAUUUGUGGCACGAACAUAAGCUUAUCUUUUAAAUCCAUUUUUCCCACAAACUUGCAGACAUACCCUCGCAUAUCCUUUGAAUCAGUUUUCUGGGUCCAGGCACAGCUCUCCGUGGAAGAGGCUACGUUACUGGGCAACUGCUUCGCGAUUCACACCUGUCUGUGUCUUUGUAAACCUUGGCUCUGUCAAAAUAUGUAGCAGUUGUCCGAAGUUGGGACCGCAGAGACUAAUAAAAAAUAGAUGAAACCUGGCCAAACUCAGCAGAAGAGGCCUGUGUGCGUCUGAAAGCGUCUCUGAGAGGCUCUCUCUGCUCUUGUUUGGAUCACCCAUUCCCCUGCUGAUUCCUGCCGCGCGUGCUGAAGCCAGUGGCUCGGAGGCAUUUUCCUGAACAGAAGAGUUCAGAAUUUACAGUGUCUGCCUUUGAGCUGCGGCCAGGGCCCCAGUCUGUCUGAAUGUGCAGGCUUUUGCACAAUCUCCCGUUUGAGGCCUCCCUUGCUCCCUUUCAGAGAGACCUGGGAGGAGCGCAGGGACCAGCCCAUGAGUUAUUUAUGACCUGUCUCUGUGUCCUGUGUGAGAGAGCUGGGCUCUGGCUGGUUCAGCAGCCCCAGUCCGGGAUUGCCAGAGCUCAGGGGAGAGAAAGGGACCCCGGAGGCAGGCAUCGCUGACUGUUGACUUGUGGCUGGGGGAGGAGCUGCUGAUUAGGCGUCAUGGUGUCACAGUGAGGCACGCUUGGCUGUGGCAGACUGGAGUGUGAAGGACACGGGUGGCAGGGAGGGGGAGGGGGUGGCCUGGAGACAAAGCUUGAAGUCAGCCCCCAGGUCACUGUUCAGGCUGCAAAUGGACUGAACUGCAUGAAGGCGUUAAAAAAAAAAUACCAAUCCUGGAUUGCAUGGAGGGACUGCCUUCAGCUGUUUGGGGCUGGAUAGAUGGGAACAGGGGCCAGACGGCCAGAGACACGGGAGAGAGCUGACCCGGGGUUGCCGUGGGGGCGAUGACAAGGCAUGAGGGCAAAGCUGGGCUGUCUUUGAGGAUGAAGUGACAGAGCUAGCACCUUGAGGCCGGGGGCUGCUGUUUGGGACUGGUAUUGUGUGGAGCCUCGGUCCUAAGGCAGACGAACCUCGCAGGUGCCUUGCUUUGGCAUCACGCCAGUGAGGGUGCGCGUCCUGCUCCGCGCCACGCGUGAGACCUCGGCUACAUUUGCUGAGCUCUCUGGGUCUCAGCCUCUGCUUUGGUCAAAGAGUUUUUGUGUUUUUGAAACACACAGAUACCGCACGCCCGGCACAGUGCCUGUCCCGCAGUGGGGGCUCUGCCAGUGUGGUUAGCGCGUGCCCGAGGGUGGUGUAGAGGGACCUGGGCACUAUCUCCCCUCUUUUGUCUUUUCUGCUCCUGCCUUCAGGUUGCACUUUCCCUGGCCUCUUUCUUCCCUCUGGCCUGGGAGUCCGCUCACCUGGGAUUCUACCUGUCCCUCUCUGCCUGUCCUGCGCCCUGGCUAGUGCGGAUCGGUCCUCAGGUCCUCGGUCUCCUCUGGAAAGCCUUCCUGGUCCUCUCGCCUCCUGCGCCCUAAGGCAUGCCAGGUGCCCCGCUGUCGGGCUCCCCGUGUCUGAGUCCCCGCGAUGCUGUGUUAGUUCCCUUCUUAGCUGUGGGCAUUCUGAAGCCAUGGGCAUCUCCCACACCUACCACAGAGCCUGGCACGCAGUAGGUGCUCAAUGAUAUCUAUUCAAUGAACGUGACUAUGCAAAAGCUCAGAUUCCUC
Lepus europaeus (European hare) is the source of this 3496-nucleotide long non-coding RNA. RefSeq lists it as uncharacterized. The transcript is spliced from 6 exons. Lineage: Eukaryota; Metazoa; Chordata; Mammalia; Lagomorpha; Leporidae. The record is from RefSeq and is a predicted model, not a curated record.